CUGGCGGCGUGCUUAACACAUGCAAGUCGAGCGAUGAAGUUCCUUCGGGAAAUGGAUUAGCGGCGGACGGGUGAGUAACACGUGGGUAACCUGCCUCAUAGAGGGGAAUAGCCUUUCGAAAGGAAGAUUAAUACCGCAUAAGAUUGUAAUGUCGCAUGACAUAGCAAUUAAAGGAGUAAUCCGCUAUGAGAUGGACCCGCGUCGCAUUAGCUAGUUGGUGAGGUAACGGCUCACCAAGGCGACGAUGCGUAGCCGACCUGAGAGGGUGAUCGGCCACAUUGGGACUGAGACACGGCCCAGACUCCUACGGGAGGCAGCAGUGGGGAAUAUUGCACAAUGGGGGAAACCCUGAUGCAGCCAACGCCGCGUGAGUGAUGAAGGUCUUCGGAUUGUAAAGCUCUGUCUUUAGGGACGAUAAUGACGGUACCUAAGGAGGAAGCCACGGCUAACUACGUGCCAGCAGCAGC
RNAcentral lists this ribosomal RNA (467 nucleotides) under uncultured bacterium. Its description in RNAcentral is "bacterial SSU rRNA". It matches the Rfam family "Bacterial small subunit ribosomal RNA", at positions 36 to 518 of the family's 1533-position model. The record is from RNAcentral.